Molecule: long non-coding RNA, 156 nt
Organism: Cebus imitator (Panamanian white-faced capuchin)
Lineage: Eukaryota; Metazoa; Chordata; Mammalia; Primates; Cebidae
Exons: 3
Source: RefSeq, a predicted model, not a curated record
CUGCAUGUUCUCACUCAUAAGUGAGAGUUGAAUAAUGAGAACACAUGGACACAGGGAGGGCAUCAUCACACACCAGGGCCUGUUGGGGCAUGGGGUGAAGGGGAAGGAUAACAUUGGGAGAAAUACCUAAUGUAGAUGAUGGGAAGAUGGAUGCAG